AUUGAACGCUGGCGGCAGGCCUAACACAUGCAAGUCGAGCGGAUGAAGGGAGCUUGCUCCUGGAUUCAGCGGCGGACGGGUGAGUAAUGCCUAGGAAUCUGCCUGGUAGUGGGGGAUAACGUCCGGAAACGGGCGCUAAUACCGCAUACGUCCUGAGGGAGAAAGUGGGGGAUCUUCGGACCUCACGCUAUCAGAUGAGCCUAGGUCGGAUUAGCUAGUUGGUGGGGUAAAGGCCUACCAAGGCGACGAUCCGUAACUGGUCUGAGAGGAUGAUCAGUCACACUAGAACUGGGACACGGUCCAGACUCCUACGGGAGGCAGCAGUGGGGAAUAUUAGACAAUGGGCGAAAGCCUGAUCCAGCCAUGCCGCGUGUGUGAAGAAGGUCUUCGGAUUGUAAAGCACUUUAAGUUGGGAGGAAGGGCAGUAAGUUAAUACCUUGCUGUUUUGACGUUACCAACAGAAUAAGCACCGGCUAACUUCGUG
Molecule: ribosomal RNA, 484 nt
Filed under: uncultured bacterium
Lineage: Bacteria
Description: partial 16S ribosomal RNA
Rfam family: Bacterial small subunit ribosomal RNA
Source: RNAcentral